Molecule: ribosomal RNA, 253 nt
Filed under: uncultured bacterium
Lineage: Bacteria
Description: partial 16S ribosomal RNA
Rfam family: Bacterial small subunit ribosomal RNA
Source: RNAcentral
UACGAAGGGGGCUAGCGUUGUUCGGAAUUACUGGGCGUAAAGCGCGCGUAGGCUGUGUAGCAAGUCAGAGGUGAAAUCCCGGAGCUUAACUUCGGAACUGCCUUUGAAACUGCUAUGCUGGAAUCUCAGAGGGGAUAGCGGAAUUCCAAAUGUAGGGGUGAAAUCCGUAGAUAUUUGGAGGAACACCGGUGGCGAAGGCGGCUAUCUGGAUGAGUAUUGACGCUGAGGCGCGAAAGCGUGGGGAUCAAACAGG